AAAGAAAAAAAAAAUGCUAUGUCCAAAUUUCCCUAAAAUAAGCAUCAGAAGAAUUAUUCUUUAAAAAAUAGACUUGCGCGACGCUUCUAAUAAGGGAGAUCAGACAGCGGAGGAGAGGAGAGGAGAGGAAAAUGGGUUACGUACUGAGAGUGAGAUUGGCCUCGUUCUUCACGGGGGCUGCAGCGUCGUCGUUUCUGGGGCUCUACAUUCUUCACAGAGAUUACAAGGUUGCCCAGGAGGCCAUUUCCGAACAGGUUAAAGGCAUUACCGAGUCACUGGACAGACGAAUUUCAGCUUUGGAAAAGUUGAAAGAAAAUGAAACCCCCGAACAUGUGGGGCCAACAGAAUAGCUGCCUUAAGACGCACUAUGGCAAUUUGUUGUUGUGGCUCCAAGCAUGAAAUUUCUUACUGCACCCUUUUUGUUUGAGGAAUAAUUACUACUUGCCCUUGUAGCAUUACUCAAUCUGUUGAUGAAAAUAGUCCUCUGAAUUUCACUGUUCA
Long non-coding RNA from Juglans microcarpa x Juglans regia, 501 nucleotides. RefSeq lists it as uncharacterized. The transcript is spliced from 2 exons. The record is from RefSeq and is a predicted model, not a curated record. Lineage: Eukaryota; Viridiplantae; Streptophyta; Magnoliopsida; Fagales; Juglandaceae.